This 511-nucleotide ribosomal RNA is filed under the name uncultured Bacillota bacterium. RNAcentral describes it as "bacterial SSU rRNA". It matches the Rfam family "Bacterial small subunit ribosomal RNA", at positions 28 to 545 of the family's 1533-position model. The record is from RNAcentral. Lineage: Bacteria; Bacillati; Bacillota.
AAGAUAAACGCUGGCGGCGCACAUAAGACAUGCAAGUCGAACGGACUUAACCAUUAGUUUGCUAUUGGAGCGGUUAGUGGCGGACUGGUGAGUAACACGUAAGCAACCUGCCUAUCAGAGGGGAACAACAGUUAGAAAUGACUGCUAAUACCGCAUAUGCCUAAGUAUCACAUGAUACAAUAGGGAAAGGAGCAAUCCGCUGAUAGAUGGGCUUGCGUCUGAUUAGCUAGUUGGUGGGGUAAAGGCCUACCAAGGCGACGAUCAGUAGCCGGACUGAGAGGUUGAACGGCCACAUUGGGACUGAGAUACGGCCCAGACUCCUACGGGAGGCAGCAGUCGGGAAUAUUGCGCAAUGGAGGAAACUCUGACGCAGUGACGCCGCGUGCAGGAAGAAGGUUUUCGGAUUGUAAACUGCUUUAGACAGGGAAGAAACAAGACAGUACCUGUAGAAUAAGCUCCGGCUAACUACGUGCCAGCAGCCGCGGUAAUACGUAGGGAGCGAGCGUUAUCC